CUCCACCUCAGAGGAGUCCGUGUGGCUGGCAACACGAGCCUUUGUAAGGAUUUCUGGGUCCCUGCUUCCCUUCAUCAAGACAACUUAUGGUCCAAGACCAACUGCCACCUGUUAAUUCUUGCAAGGAUUCUAUCUCAGAUUCAGACCAUGCAAAUCGUCCAGAUGACUCCCCAGUACAACUGACAGAUUCACAUGAUGAGGAUCCACUGUGACUACAGAUAACCGCUCCUGACUGGAGAGUGACUGACAGGCAUGAAGUGGAGUGCUUCCCUAUAGAGGGAUUAAGCCCCUGAGCAUGGACACCUCUACUGCUUCCCUCGCUGGAUCGUUCCUGCAUUUGAAAGCCAGCACACUGACAUCUCUGAUAGGGUGUGUAUCUUAGGGUUUCUAUCGCUGUGAAAAGAAACCAUAACAUCAACUCUUAUUAAAGAAAACAUCUGUACUGGCUGGUUUUUUGUGUCAACUUGACACAAGCUGGAGUUACCACAUAGAAAGGAGCCUCCCUUGAGGAAAUGCCUCCA
RNAcentral lists this long non-coding RNA (521 nucleotides) under Rattus norvegicus (Norway rat). RNAcentral's name for it is "long non-coding RNA NONRATT032144". Lineage: Eukaryota; Metazoa; Chordata; Mammalia; Rodentia; Muridae. The record is from RNAcentral.